This 152-nucleotide ribosomal RNA is filed under the name Leptospira borgpetersenii serovar Hardjo-bovis. RNAcentral's name for it is "partial 16S ribosomal RNA". It matches the Rfam family "Bacterial small subunit ribosomal RNA", at positions 1383 to 1533 of the family's 1533-position model. The record is from RNAcentral. Lineage: Bacteria; Pseudomonadati; Spirochaetota; Leptospiria; Leptospirales; Leptospiraceae.
GUCCACACCGCCCGUCACACCGAGGGGGUGGGGAGCGCGCGGGGUGGUCUUUGGCGACCGGAAGGAAGCAGACUACUAAGGUGAAACUCGUGAAGGGGGUGAAGUCGUAACAAGGUAGCCGUAUCGGAAGGUGCGGCUGGAUCACCUCCUUU